AGGAUAAACGCUGGCGGCGUGCCUAACACAUGCAAGUCGAACGUCCUUGCGGUCUUCUUCUUCGGAGGAGGACCGCGAGGGAGUGGCGGACGGGUGAGUAACACAUGGGUACCUGCCUUUCAGUGAGGAAUACCGGCGAGAAAUCGCCGACAAGACCGCAUAGGCUUCCUUCGGUAGCCCGAGGGAAGCAAAGUUACUUCGCGAGAGGUGACGCUGGAAGAGGGGCCUGUGGCCGAUUAGCUAGUUGGGGGGUAACGGCCUCCCAAGGCGACGAUCGGUAGCUGGUCUGAGAGGACGAUCAGCCACACUGGGAUUGAGAACGGCCCAGACUCCUACGGGGGGCAGCAGUGAGGAAUUUUCCGCAAUGGACGAAGUCUGACGGAGCAACGCCGCGUGCAGGAGGAAGGUUUCGGAUCGUAAACUGCUUUUCUCGGGGACGAGCAAGGACGGUACCCGAGGAAGAAGCCCCGGCUAACUACGCGCCAGCAGCCGCGGUAA
Molecule: ribosomal RNA, 498 nt
Filed under: uncultured bacterium
Lineage: Bacteria
Description: SSU rRNA
Rfam family: Bacterial small subunit ribosomal RNA
Source: RNAcentral